AGAAGCCGAAAGGCUACUUCAAACCAUCGCGAACUCGUCCAAGUUGCUUCGGCGGCGCGGCACCCCUUAACGGGGGCGCCGCAGCCCUGCCUCUCCGGAGGUUCGGGGCGCCCGCCGGAGGUACGAAACUCUGUAUUAUAGUGGCAUCUCUGAGUAUAAAACAAAUAAGUUAAAACUUUCAACAACGGAUCUCUUGGUUCUGGCAUCGAUGAAGAACGCAGCGAAAUGCGAUAAGUAAUGUGAAUUGCAGAAUUCAGUGAAUCAUCGAAUCUUUGAACGCACAUUGCGCCCGGUAGUACUCUACCGGGCAUGCCUGUUCGAGCGUCAUUUCAACCCUCAAGCCCUGCUUGGUGUUGGGGCCCUACGGCUGCCGUAGGCCCUGAAAGGAAGUGGCGGGCUCGCUACAACUCCGAGCGUAGUAAUUCAUUAUCUCGCUAGGGAGGUUGCGGCGUGCUCCUGCCGUUAAAGACCCAUCUUUAACCAAGGUUGACCUCGGAUCAGGUAGGAAUACCCGCUGAACUUAAGCAUAUCAAUAAGCGGAGGAAAAGAAACCAACAGGGAUUGCCCUAGUAACGGCGAGUGAAGCGGCAACAGCUCAAAUUUGAAAUCUGGCUUCGGCCCGAGUUGUAAUUUGUAGAGGAUGCUUUUGGUGAGGUGCCUUCUGAGUUCCCUGGAACGGGACGCCAGAGAGGGUGAGAGCCCCGUAUAGUCGGCCACCGAUCCUUUGUAAAGCUCCUUCGACGAGUCGAGUAGUUUGGGAAUGCUGCUCAAAAUGGGAGGUAUAUCUCUUCUAAAGCUAAAUAUAGGCCAGAGACCGAUAGCGCACAAGUAGAGUGAUCGAAAGAUGAAAAGCACUUUGAAAAGAGGGUUAAAUAGCACGUGAAAUUGUUGAAAGGGAAGCGCUUGUGACCAGACUUGUGCCGGGCUGAUCAUCCAGUGUUCUCACUGGUGCACUCGACCCGGCUCAGGCCAGCGUCGGUUUUCGUGGGGGGAUAAAAGCUUCGGGAACGUGGCACCUUCGGGUGUGUUAUAGCCCGUUGCUUAAUACCUCCGUGGAGACCGAGGU
This 1066-nucleotide ribosomal RNA is filed under the name Sordariomycetes sp. genotype 32. RNAcentral's name for it is "eukaryotic LSU rRNA". The stretch from base 488 to 1066 matches the Rfam family "Eukaryotic large subunit ribosomal RNA", at positions 1 to 592 of the family's 3401-position model. Lineage: Eukaryota; Fungi; Ascomycota; Sordariomycetes. The record is from RNAcentral.